CACUGAGAAGCUAAACAGGACCUUAGCGUUAGCCUUUUAAGCUAAAAAUUGGUGCUUUCCGACCACCCUUAGUGA
This 75-nucleotide transfer RNA is filed under the name Ostracion solorense (reticulate boxfish). Its description in RNAcentral is "tRNA-Lys". It matches the Rfam family "tRNA". From Rfam's summary of the family: Transfer RNA (tRNA) molecules are approximately 80 nucleotides in length. Their secondary structure includes four short double-helical elements and three loops (D, anti-codon, and T loops). Further hydrogen bonds mediate the characteristic L-shaped molecular structure. tRNAs have two regions of fundamental functional importance: the anti-codon, which is responsible for specific mRNA codon recognition, and the 3' end, to which the tRNAs corresponding amino acid is attached (by aminoacyl-tRNA synthetases). tRNAs cope with the degeneracy of the genetic code in two manners: having more than one tRNA (with a specific anti-codon) for a particular amino acid; and 'wobble' base-pairing, i.e. permitting non-standard base-pairing at the 3rd anti-codon position. The record is from RNAcentral. RNAcentral also lists the same sequence under 1 other name. Lineage: Eukaryota; Metazoa; Chordata; Actinopteri; Tetraodontiformes; Ostraciidae.